This 347-nucleotide long non-coding RNA is filed under the name Ananas comosus (pineapple). RNAcentral describes it as "long non-coding RNA (ACOM_LNC019948)". The record is from RNAcentral. Lineage: Eukaryota; Viridiplantae; Streptophyta; Magnoliopsida; Poales; Bromeliaceae.
UUAGCAACUGAUUUACGCCGCUUUGGAGGCGGCGGAGGAGUAGAUUGAGCUGUCUCAAUCGGUCUUUUUUCUGAAACUGAGAUCGAUGGAGAAACUGGAAUUGACUGCAGAAAAGAAAAAAAGGGAAACCAAAGGAAAACAAGUACUUGGAAUGUUAAAAAGAAAAGUUAAAAUAAAGGUAAGUACAUUACAGAAGAAGAAGGCUUGGCAUCAGAAAUGUGAUUGGAAGCUUCUUCUAUUUCUUCUUUUGAUGAUGAGGCAGGAGUGUCAACUGAAACGAGUGGAUGAAUAGUUCUACGGAAUGCCCGAAGAAGAGAAAGGUCGAGAAUACGGUCAGUAAAAUGAUC